GUUAGCUCAGUUGGCAGAGCGUCUGACUGUUAAUCAGAAUGUCGCUGGUUCAAGUCCAGC
This 60-nucleotide transfer RNA is filed under the name Alloscardovia omnicolens. It matches the Rfam family "tRNA", at positions 8 to 63 of the family's 71-position model. Rfam says of the family: Transfer RNA (tRNA) molecules are approximately 80 nucleotides in length. Their secondary structure includes four short double-helical elements and three loops (D, anti-codon, and T loops). Lineage: Bacteria; Bacillati; Actinomycetota; Actinomycetes; Bifidobacteriales; Bifidobacteriaceae. The record is from RNAcentral.